AGGUUGUGAAUAAAAUAAGAAACCAGUUUAAAGGCUCCUAAAAAGCCACCAGGUAUGAGGCCACUGAAAGCUAAAAAAACAACAGCAAAACGAGCAAGAAAAGGAUCAGGAAAACAAGCACCUUCCAAGCAACGUAUGAAAAAGUUCUUCGAAUCUUCAUAUUCCCUGUAUGUUGGCACAGUGCUUCUGAUGGGCUCCGUUAUAGGGGCAGCAAUGCUGACCUAUCUGUGUAAGUUCCAGUCUUCUAGGAAAAUAUAAAAGGGUAAUGGGCAGAAUUACAAUUCUCUCUUGCUUGCUUCAUUUCAGUGGAGACC
Podarcis muralis (Common wall lizard) is the source of this 314-nucleotide non-coding RNA. NCBI's taxonomy places the organism in Eukaryota, Metazoa, Chordata, Lepidosauria, Squamata, Lacertidae. The record is from RefSeq and is a predicted model, not a curated record.